Molecule: non-coding RNA, 391 nt
Organism: Pelobates cultripes (western spadefoot toad)
Lineage: Eukaryota; Metazoa; Chordata; Amphibia; Anura; Pelobatidae
Source: the annotation of a GenBank genome assembly
CCUGUCAAUUAUCCAUAGAUGAUACUACAUUUGUCCAGAGCUUUAUCCUUAAAUGUAUAGUUCCAUGGGAAUAUACUUGCAAAACUUACCCCAAUAAUGACUAAUGUUGGUCAAUGUCAUAACAAUCUGGACCCUAUUCCGAUGUAGAAAAAUAUUAGGACCCAGUGGAGUUGCUAAUGAUGUAUACAUUCCAUUGGGUCUCUAAGCACAAAAUUGGGAUUACGGCAUGGAUUUACUUUGGUACGUAAGGUGCUAAGAUAUGUUAUUUUCUAUUUGUGCUUCAGGCAAUCUGUAGGGUACCAUUCUCCUUUACAUUCUCCUAUUAAGGAUGCUUUCUGGACUUCUUUUUAUCAGAAUAUUGCUAUCAUGUAGAGCGGAAACGCAUAUUACU